Molecule: long non-coding RNA, 383 nt
Filed under: Pelobates cultripes (western spadefoot toad)
Lineage: Eukaryota; Metazoa; Chordata; Amphibia; Anura; Pelobatidae
Source: RNAcentral
UGGGAAACACUUCUUGAUUAGUUUGAAAAGGCCCACUUACAUAUUAAAUCAUGAGAUCAUUUCUAAUCAGUUUGCAAUUCUAGCAAUAAUCCCAAUCAUGACCUUACGUCCUAUGCCUCCUAAUCAAAUCCCUAUUUCGAUGGUCCAGUCAUAUCCACACUUAAUACAUUGGAAUCCAUCCUUGGUACACUCAACAUACAUCAAUGACACAUAUAGCACAUACGUGCCUGAGUAAGCUAACACUUCCUCUCUCUCCGGCUAACUCUACAAAAAUAAAAAUAACAAAAUAGUUCAAUAGUCCAGCAUAGUCCAGAAAAAUAUUAUAAGUCUUUCAAGGAGUAUAAAGAAUCUUAGACACCAUAAACUUUGUUCCAUAAUCUUAG